RNAcentral lists this ribosomal RNA (429 nucleotides) under Verrucomicrobiota bacterium. RNAcentral's name for it is "Verrucomicrobia bacterium partial 16S ribosomal RNA". It matches the Rfam family "Bacterial small subunit ribosomal RNA", at positions 355 to 776 of the family's 1533-position model. Lineage: Bacteria; Pseudomonadati; Verrucomicrobiota. The record is from RNAcentral.
UAGGGAAUCUUCGGCAAUGGGGGGAACCCUGACCGAGCAACGCCGCGUGAGUGAAGAAGGUUUUCGGAUCGUAAAGCUCUGUUGUUAAGGAAGAACGAGUGUGAGAAUGGAAAGUUCAUGCUGUGACGGUACUUAACCAGAAAGGGACGGCUAACUACGUGCCAGCAGCCGCGGUAAUAAGUAGGUCCCGAGCGUUGUCCGGAUUUAUUGGGCGUAAAGCGAGCGCAGGCGGUUAGAAAAGUCUGAAGUGAAAGGCAGUGGCUCAACCAUUGUAGGCUUUGGAAACUGUUUAACUUGAGUGCAGAAGGGGAGAGUGGAAUUCCAUGUGUAGCGGUGAAAUGCGUAGAUAUAUGGAGGAACACCGGUGGCGAAAGCGGCUCUCUGGUCUGUAACUGACGCUGAGGCUCGAAAGCGUGGGGAGCGAACAGG